RNAcentral lists this ribosomal RNA (749 nucleotides) under Pseudomonas sp. OC-D1-2. Its description in RNAcentral is "bacterial SSU rRNA". It matches the Rfam family "Bacterial small subunit ribosomal RNA", at positions 48 to 789 of the family's 1533-position model. The record is from RNAcentral. Lineage: Bacteria; Pseudomonadati; Pseudomonadota; Gammaproteobacteria; Pseudomonadales; Pseudomonadaceae.
CCUACACAUGCAAGUCGAGCGGUAGAGAAGGAGCUUGCUUCUUCUUGAGAGCGGCGGACGGGUGAGUAAUGCCUAGGAAUCUGCCUGGUAGUGGGGGACAACGUUUCGAAAGGAACGCUAAUACCGCAUACGUCCUACGGGAGAAAGUGGGGGAUCUUCGGACCUCACGCUAUCAGAUGAGCCUAGGUCGGAUUAGCUUGUAGGUGAGGUAAUGGCUCACCUAGGCAACGAUCCGUAACUGGUCUGAGAGGAUGAUCAGUCACACUGGAACUGAGACACGGUCCAGACUCCUACGGGAGGCAGCAGUGGGGAAUAUUGGACAAUGGGCGAAAGCCUGAUCCAGCCAUGCCGCGUGUGUGAAGAAGGUCUUCGGAUUGUAAAGCACUUUAAGUUGGGAGGAAGGGUUGUAGCUUAAUACGCUGCAACUUUGACGUUACCAACAGAAUAAGCACCGGCUAACUCUGUGCCAGCAGCCGCGGUAAUACAGAGGGUGCAAGCGUUAAUCGGAAUUACUGGGCGUAAAGCGCGCGUAGGCGGCUUGAUAAGAUGGGUGUGAAAUCCCCGGGCUUAACCUGGGAACUGCAUCCAUAACUGUCUGGCUAGAGUGCAGUAGAGGGUGGUGGAAUUUCCUGUGUAGCGGUGAAAUGCGUAGAUAUAGGAAGGAACACCAGUGGCGAAGGCGACCACCUGGACUGACACUGACGCUGAGGUGCGAAAGGCGUGGGGAGCACACAGGAUUAGAUACCCUG